RNAcentral lists this ribosomal RNA (227 nucleotides) under uncultured bacterium. RNAcentral describes it as "partial 16S ribosomal RNA". It matches the Rfam family "Bacterial small subunit ribosomal RNA", at positions 109 to 334 of the family's 1533-position model. The record is from RNAcentral.
AGUAACGCGUGAGGAACCUGCCUCAAAGAGGGGGACAACAGUUGGAAACGACUGCUAAUACCGCAUAAGCCCACGGUGCCGCAUGGCACAGAGGGAAAAGGAGCAAUCCGCUUUGAGAUGGCCUCGCGUCCGAUUAGCUAGUUGGUGAGGUAAUGGCCCACCAAGGCGACGAUCGGUAGCCGGACUGAGAGGUUGAACGGCCACAUUGGGACUGAGACACGGCCCAG